RNAcentral lists this ribosomal RNA (405 nucleotides) under Bacillota bacterium. RNAcentral describes it as "Firmicutes bacterium partial 16S ribosomal RNA". It matches the Rfam family "Bacterial small subunit ribosomal RNA", at positions 355 to 776 of the family's 1533-position model. The record is from RNAcentral. Lineage: Bacteria; Bacillati; Bacillota.
UAGGGAAUCUUGCGCAAUGGGGGAAACCCUGACGCAGCGACGCCGCGUGCGGGAUGAAGGCCUUCGGGUUGUAAACCGCUUUCAGCAGGGACGAAAUUGACGGUACCUGCAGAAGAAGGCCCGGCCAACUACGUGCCAGCAGCCGCGGUAAUACGUAGGGGCCUAGCGUUGUCCGGAUUUAUUGGGCGUAAAGAGCUCGUAGGCGGUUCGGUAAGUCAGGUGUGAAAUCUCCACGCUCAACGUGGAGGCGCCACCUGAAACUGCCGUGACUCGAGUCCGGUAGGGGAGUGUGGAAUUCCCGGUGUAGCGGUGAAAUGCGCAGAUAUCGGGAGGAACACCAGUGGCGAAGGCGGCACUCUGGGCCGGUACUGACGCGGAGGAGCGAAAGCGUGGGGAGCGAACAGG